Molecule: ribosomal RNA, 119 nt
Filed under: Pteropus alecto (black flying fox)
Lineage: Eukaryota; Metazoa; Chordata; Mammalia; Chiroptera; Pteropodidae
Source: RNAcentral
UACUACGGUCAUGCCACCCUGAACGAGCCCUAUCCCAUCUGAUUUUGGAAGCAAAGCAGGGUCGGGCCAGUUUAGUACUUGGAUGGGAGACCACCUAGGAAGACCAGGUGCUGUAGGUG